UCCCUGCUUUAUCUUCUAUUAUUUCUUCUUUUCCUUCCCAUUCGAAACGCUGUCUAUCGAAAUACUAAAACGGAAGUGGAACGAGUAUUCAUACUCGCGACAUACUCGCUUAUCCAUAGAGGAUACGAGGGUGAAAGAUCGAAUCGAAUUAAAGCGCGAUCGAUUCGACCUUUGCAAUCGUAUCGAUAGCGAAUGUAUAAUUUUUUCGUCGUUUACGAUCGCGAUGAUACAAACGCGAUACGUAUCGAUCCAUGUUCGAAGAUGAUGGAUACCGGCGAAGCUGAGAGAACAAAGAAAAAGGAAAGAGAAAAGAAAGAGAAGAAGAGGAGGAGUGCUCAUUGAAAAGUUGGAGGGUGGCAGAGGCGCGUGGCGCGGUCGCGGGUACGCAUGCGUGUACGCAAAGCUAGUAGACGCAAUACAUAGUAGAUAUGCACGUGCGCGACGUAACGCGUGUGAGCGAAGCUGUUCUCACGCGGCGACACGCGGCCACCAUCUCCCCAAUGCGCGUCGCCACGUGCCACCUCGAUGCACCCACGGAAAACUCAUAAUUGUCAUAACAUUCGAGCUGUGCUCGCUCGAAGGAACGCCAAUACCGGCUACUCGAUCUACGAAAGUCGUGUCGCAUCUUCGGGAAAUCAUUGUCACCUUUCAUAAGGACGAGUUAAACGAUUCUAAAGUAGCGUCAUACGGACGACGUCACAAUGCACCAUUCCAAUUACAUCGAUGACGUCAAACAAGACUACUUGCAUCUUGAAUUGUCCUGAAACUAGUUCGCCAUCCUGUAUAUCUACCAUACCAUAUGUACAUAAAUAUAUGUAGUGUAUGUAUGUACGAAAUUCGAUAUAAGUAACAACGUGAUAAAAUAAAAGAGAAAAGAUGCUUGACGCAAAGAUGCGUGACGCAUCCUCGUAUCCCCUUUGCCUUGUCAGUUUUUAAUCUUCGUAUAUUCGAACAAGCAAAGUAACCAAAUCAUCAUGGCACGUGCCAAAUAUUUCCGACAGCGGUAUCUAACCACCCGCUUUUUUCGCCCCGGUUAAACAUAAUACUCUGAACGUGGCCCGGUGACUCGACAAGCUAUAUACGUACUUAAUCGGUCAAAGCAUAUCAGUGUUCUUAAAAAAAAAAAAAAAAGGGAAAAU
Bombus huntii is the source of this 1139-nucleotide long non-coding RNA. RefSeq lists it as uncharacterized. The record is from RefSeq and is a predicted model, not a curated record. Lineage: Eukaryota; Metazoa; Arthropoda; Insecta; Hymenoptera; Apidae. The transcript is spliced from 2 exons.